GUAACACGUAAAGAACCUGCCCUCAGGUCUGGGAUAACCACGAGAAAUCGGGGCUAAUACCGGAUGGGUCAUCGGACCGCAUGGUCCGAGGAUGAAAGGCGCUUCGGCGUCGCCUGGGGAUGGCUUUGCGGUGCAUCAGCUAGUUGGUGGGGUAAUGGCCCACCAAGGCGACGAUGCAUAGCCGACCUGAGAGGGUGAUCGGCCACACUGGGACUGAGACACGGCCCAGACUCCUACGGGAGGCAGCAGUAGGGAAUCUUCCACAAUGGACGAAAGUCUGAUGGAGCAACGCCGCGUGAACGAUGAAGGCCUUCGGGUCGUAAAGUUCUGUUGUAAGGGAAGAACAAGUGCCGCAGGCAAUGGCGGCACCUUGACGGUACCUUGCGAGAAAGCCACGGCUAACUACGUGCCAGCAGCCGCGGUAAUACGUAGGUGGCAAGCGUUGUCCGGAAUUAUUGGGCGUAAAGCGCGCGCAGGCGGCCUCUUAAGUCUGAUGUGAAAGCCCCCGGCUCAACCGGGGAGGGCCAUUGGAAACUGGGAGGCUUGAGUAUAGGAGAGAAGAGUGGAAUUCCACGUGUAGCGGUGAAAUGCGUAGAGAUGUGGAGGAACACCAGUGGCGAAGGCGACUCUUUGGCCUAUAACUGACGCUGAGGCG
RNAcentral lists this ribosomal RNA (655 nucleotides) under uncultured bacterium. RNAcentral describes it as "bacterial SSU rRNA". It matches the Rfam family "Bacterial small subunit ribosomal RNA", at positions 110 to 753 of the family's 1533-position model. The record is from RNAcentral.